UACAGGGGGGGCAAGCGUUGUUCGGAAUUACUGGGCGUAAAGGGUUCGUAGGUGGCCAACUAAGUCAGAUGUGAAAUCCCUCAGCUUAACUGGGGAACUGCUUCUGAAACUGGUUGGCUUGAGUGCAGGAGAGGAAUGCGGAAUUCCAGGUGUAGCGGUGAAAUGCGUAGAUAUCUGGAGGAACACCGGUGGCGAAGGCGGCAUUCUGGACUGUAACUGACACUGAGGAACGAAAGCCAGGGGAGCAAACGGG
Molecule: ribosomal RNA, 253 nt
Filed under: uncultured bacterium
Lineage: Bacteria
Description: partial 16S ribosomal RNA
Rfam family: Bacterial small subunit ribosomal RNA
Source: RNAcentral